Molecule: transfer RNA, 76 nt
Filed under: Escherichia coli
Lineage: Bacteria; Pseudomonadati; Pseudomonadota; Gammaproteobacteria; Enterobacterales; Enterobacteriaceae
Also listed under: 4 other names
Description: tRNA-Lys
Rfam family: tRNA
About the family: Transfer RNA (tRNA) molecules are approximately 80 nucleotides in length. Their secondary structure includes four short double-helical elements and three loops (D, anti-codon, and T loops). Further hydrogen bonds mediate the characteristic L-shaped molecular structure. tRNAs have two regions of fundamental functional importance: the anti-codon, which is responsible for specific mRNA codon recognition, and the 3' end, to which the tRNAs corresponding amino acid is attached (by aminoacyl-tRNA synthetases). tRNAs cope with the degeneracy of the genetic code in two manners: having more than one tRNA (with a specific anti-codon) for a particular amino acid; and 'wobble' base-pairing, i.e. permitting non-standard base-pairing at the 3rd anti-codon position.
Source: RNAcentral
GGGUCGUUAGCUCAGUUGGUAGAGCAGUUGACUUUUAAUCAAUUGGUCGCAGGUUCGAAUCCUGGACGACCCACCA